RNAcentral lists this ribosomal RNA (274 nucleotides) under uncultured bacterium. Its description in RNAcentral is "partial 16S ribosomal RNA". It matches the Rfam family "Bacterial small subunit ribosomal RNA", at positions 523 to 796 of the family's 1533-position model. The record is from RNAcentral.
AUACAGAGGGUGCAAGCGUUAUUCGGAAUUACUGGGCGUAAAGCGCGCGUAGGCGGAUGAUUAAGUCAGUUGAGAAAGCCCUGGGCUCAACCUAGGAACUGCAUCUGAUACUGGUCGUCUAGAGUUUAAGAGAGGGAAGUGGAAUUCCAGGUGUAGCAGUGAAAUGCGUAGAUAUCUGGAGGAACAUCAGUGGCGAAGGCGACUUCCUGGCUUAAAACUGACGCUGAGGUGCGAAAGCGUGGGUAGCGAACGGGAUUAGAUACCCCAGUAGUCC